CAACCAGACUCAACAUCUGGACUCAACUCAACUCUGUCACACAUGUUCAGAACUCUACCAGGAAUCACAUACUGUAGUGCUUGCUGCAGUGCUACCACUUGUUAUAGUGGUGGUCGUGAUUGUACUAGGUGUGAUCUAUUUCAUAAUGAAAAAGAAACGAGGUUCAUAUAUAAAUCCCAAUGCACCAUAAUCUGAUGGAGUGAAAAACAUUAUGCACAAAUGAUGAUCUGACAAUCUAACAGACUGCAGUGGCUAUGACAGAUCUCUGACACAUAUGAUGCUGUGUCUCAGUACUCUAAGAUCAUGAACAAAGAAAUUUUAUAAACAAAACUUGGUACAACAUUAUCAUGAUUUUAAUGCCAUUUUUAUAAAAACUGUGACUGCAUUGAAUUAAUUUGCAUUAUGUAUAUGCAGCAUUGAUUAAAAAAAAGGUACCAGAGUAAUUGUUGUAUAUAGCAAGUGUUAAGCUUUUUGUUGCUGGAUCCUGAUAUAUUUUUUGAUAUGCUUUUACAUAUCUGUAAUAUCAUUUAUGUGGUCUCUUUUCUUUGACUGGAUGGCAAUGUUGUAUCUGUUUUAACUGAAUACUUUAAUCACAUCUCUACUGGGGCUAUUACAGACAUAUAUCAGGACAAAGAGACACAAUUUGUCAGAAACUGUAAAAUUAAUUUUCCUAUAAUUAUCCUGCCCAGACUUGAGAAAGAGCUGAUCUGUUUUUUUCACAACAGAGCAGCCAACACUAGCCUUGUGACUGUCUUGCUAAAUAACAAAUUCAUUUGUAUUACAGUGUUAAAGGGAUAGUCCACCCACAAAUGAAAAUGUGAUGUUUAUCUGCUUACCCCCAGAGCAUCCAAGAUGUAGGUGAGUUUGUUUCUUCAGUAGAUCACAAACGAACAUUUUUAGCUUCAGCUGUUGCAGUCUCUCAGUCGUACAAUGCUUGGCAAAUGGUAACAGAAUCUAUGAGAGAAAUAAAUAAAAAACAUGCAGAGACAAAUCCAUAUUAAACCAUGCGGCU
Molecule: long non-coding RNA, 1012 nt
Organism: Carassius auratus (goldfish)
Lineage: Eukaryota; Metazoa; Chordata; Actinopteri; Cypriniformes; Cyprinidae
Exons: 4
Source: RefSeq, a predicted model, not a curated record